AGAGGGAAAAGCAGUCUCCAUGCAGGGAGCCUGAUGUGGGACUCGAUCCCAGGGCUGAGGGCGGCACUAAACCGCUGAGCCACCCAGGGAUCCCCUACAAUUUCUUUUAAUCACUUAAAAGAGCACAGGGAUGUGCCCGUUCUUUGCAGCCUUAUGCAGGAGCAAACACCAUGCAGUUGGUUCCCCUGCCCACUGCCCUCCCGCAUCCCCAGCUCUUCUCAGUGUCCCCGCUCACGUGAACAGCUCACGCCGGCCAGUUUCUGGGCCCUGUGCAUAAUGAGCCAUGUGGACCCUGUUCCAGAAACUGGCCAUGUUCCAGAGCUACUAUAAAAUACAAGGAAAAUAUUAACAUCUCGGAUGACAAAAGAUCCAUAUGGCUGGUCAGAAAAUAUCCACAUCGCUUAAGCCAAUAGACUGUACCUUUAUGGAAACACUCGAUUCUGUUUCAUGAGCAUCGGGACUGUGAGAACAUCUGUUUGUCUCCCUCCCUUUUCACUAAACAUUGAUUCCCACAGAAUACAUGCAAACUCAAACACCAACAUAUUUAAUCUAAGCAACAGGAUGAGGGAUGUGUUUUUUAUCUACAUAGUGUCUGUAAGCAAACAUAGCACUGGUGGUAGUGGCGGGUUGGGGGGGUUGUAGAUUUUGGGAGAAGUUGUGGGCAGCUGGAUAAAUAACCUCUCUGUAUUAAAAAUGAUUAAAGAUAACAGCUAACAUUUAUAAGCUGCAAGGUGGAUACCCCAGUUAUCCACAGCUUACAGCAAAGAAAGCUGAUGCUCAGGAUGCCUGGGUGGCUCAGUGGUUGAGCGUCUGCCUUCAGCUCAGGCCAUGAUCCCAGGGUCCCGGGAUCAAGUCCGGCAUCAGGCUCCCCACAGGGAGCCUGCUUCUCCCUCUGCCUAUGUCUCUCAGGAAUAAAUAAAAUCUUAAAAAAAAAAAAGAAGAAAAGAAAACUGAGGCUCAGAGAGGUUCAAUAAAUUACUUAAAGACACACGGUAGAAAUGGAAUUUGAACCAGAGCUUGCAUGCUUCUUUCCACAUGGGGUCAGAUGUGGAUGGGAUCUUAUAUUUUGAGGGAGGUCUACUUGGCAGAGACACCUUCAAACCCUAAGCAUCAAUUUCAUAUUUACUUAAGCAAAGUCCUCUAUGAUCAUUCCUGAUAAGCAGUUUAUUGACACACUAAUUCCACAAAAGUUGACUCUAACCCGAAUAUUCCUGUUUUACUAUCUCUUCCCCAUAUUGAAUCGUCAAGGUCUCAGCCCUACAUGCCUACUUAAUAGGGCAUAGUGUCAACACAAUGCACGGAGGUAAUUUGUUUGAAAUGUCAGAACAUUUUCCUAGAAGAUCUCAUUGGGCCAGGAACAGAACCACGUGCUUUUUAGGUCACUAACCAUAACUGGCAAAUAGCCCCAACUCCACCUGAGUAAGAAUGAUUUCAAUCAAGACCCAAGUGCCAAGGUGCCUAAGGAAACAACAACAACAACAUAAAAUCUUUCCUUUUAGUACCAACCUAAUCCUCUCCAAGUCGAGACGCCUGGUUCCCUAGGCCACCCCACCUGUGACUCACGU
This 1565-nucleotide long non-coding RNA is filed under the name Canis lupus familiaris (dog). RNAcentral describes it as "lncRNA (ENSCAFG00845018009.1)". Lineage: Eukaryota; Metazoa; Chordata; Mammalia; Carnivora; Canidae. The record is from RNAcentral.